AUCCAGCUGACGAGCCCCAAAUAUGACGAAACGCUUGUCCCGGAU
This 45-nucleotide non-coding RNA is filed under the name Schistosoma mansoni. The record is from RNAcentral. Lineage: Eukaryota; Metazoa; Platyhelminthes; Trematoda; Strigeidida; Schistosomatidae.